Molecule: long non-coding RNA, 4260 nt
Organism: Gorilla gorilla gorilla (western lowland gorilla)
Lineage: Eukaryota; Metazoa; Chordata; Mammalia; Primates; Hominidae
Exons: 3
Source: RefSeq, a predicted model, not a curated record
GGGGACAAAUAAGGGAAUAAAAACUGGUCAGCCCAGCUGGCCCAGGCAACCCAGGUCUCCUUCCACAUUGUGGAGGUUUUGUUCUUUCAUUCUUCGCAAUAAAUCUUGCUGCUGCUCACUGUUUGUGUCCGGCCCGUCUUUAAGAGCUGAAACACUGACGGCAAAAGCCCGCAGCUCCAUUCUUGAAGUCAGCGAGACCACGAAUCCACCGGAAGGAACCAACUCUGGACACAAUAGGGGCUUAUGAUCAGGCAAAGGAGACACCAGGAAAGAGGAGCAGAGUGGCUAGGGCAGUGCACUGCAGAUGCAUGGACGAAAGCUCGCAGCGACACAAGCAUGGGGUGUCUAAUCAGGGAUGAGUGUGAGCAGCAGAAUGAGGAGCAUGCUUUCCCAGAGGAAGAGAGGAAGCCACUGGAGAGAUGAAGGAUGCCAUGGACAGGAGAUGAGUCCUGGUCCAGCCUGUAAUAAGAUGGAAAUGAAGAGAGCUGCCGAAUAAUGAAAAAUCACUCAAAAGGGGCAGAUUCUGAUGACGGCACAGGGGCCACCAAAGACUGGAGAUAUGAAGAGUGGCUGUGAGCGUCAGGGAAAGGGGGGUGUGCCUGAGAGCCCCGUUCAUCUCCUUGCUCGCCAGGGCUCCACUAUCUGACUGCUGGGUUUGAAUCCCAGCUUUGCCCCUUUACUGGCUAUGUGACUGUAAACAAGCCACCUAAGUCCUCAGUCUAGUCCUCCAUGAAAAUGGGGAUUAAAAUGGUACUUUUCUCAGGGGUGGCGGAGUGUUGUGCAAAUUGACGAUUUAAUACAUGUAGUGCCCUUUGAGGUAGAGCAUGGUGCUUAAUACAUGUUCCACAGCAUUUGCCAUUUUGUGAUGAGCCAGGCUCUGUCCUGUGUGUUACCCAAAGAGCCCCAUCCUCAAUCAGAGCUUACAUUUGAGUCACGACCACCAACCAGGCACACCCAGGAUGACAUGCUGUGGGGGGGUGGCUGCCAUAAUAAGGUCCAAAAACUGGCUGGCUUAAAGCAAUGAAAAUGUAUUGUCUCACAGUUCUGGAAACUGCAAGUCUGAAAUCAAGGUGUUGGCAGGGCUGUGCUUCCUCUGAAAGCUUCCUUGCCUCCUCCUAGCUUCUGGUGGCCGGCCAGCCAUGUUUUGGUGGUCCUGGCUCGCAGUUGCGUGGCGGUAUUCUGCCUUCCUGGUCACAGGACAGUCUCUGAGUGUGUCUGUCUUCACUUGGCUGUGUUCUAAUAAUGACUCCAGUUACAUUGGAUUAGGGGCCCCCCUUACAAUACCACCUCAUUUAAACAAAUUAUAUCUGAAAUGACCCUAUUUUCAAAUAAAGUCGCAUUCUGAAGUACUAGGGGUUAGGACUUCAACAUUGAUUUGUGGGGGGCACAAUUCAUAACGUGUUGUUGAAGGGACUAACAACGAUUACAGCAGAUGUAGAAAGAGAUCUUAACUGAACUUCUCCUGUCAGACUAAAGCGGACACUCCAGAGAAUUCAGCUGCCAUAAAGCCCGAACCCAGGGUUUCCAGUCAGGGAGACAAAUGAGUCCUUUAACAUCAUGACAUUUCAAGUCAAUGGUGUCGGUGUCAGCAAACCUCAUCAGAACCUUCCAUUCUUUCCCUAACCCUCUCUGCCCUCCCUUCUUCAGUCAAGCUCCUAUGUAAGCCACAGUCCCUAGCUGUUCAGAGAUGCACUUCUUUGGUGUGCUGCUACAUGUGUGCAGAGAAAUUUUGUCUUUUCUGCUGUCAAUCUGUUCAUUGCCAUUUAAUUCACAGGCUUCUGACCACCGGGGUCUAAACUGAUAGAGGAAGAUCUCCUUCCCAACAUGGUAAAGAGAGAGCCAAAGGGGACAUUUGAGCAGAGGCCUGAAACAGGGACAGCUGGGCAUCAAGAAAUACUCACCUUGUGCUAGGAGCCUUGUGCCUAGACUUGUGAUUCAUCCCAGGUUUCCUAGGUUACAAAAAUACAUGCUAGUGGGACUAACGUGGAGAUUAAAUUGAGGGAAUUUUAUUUUUUUUGACAUGGAGCCUCGUUCUGUUGCCCAGACUGGAGUUCAGUGGCACGAUCUUGGCUCAGUGCAACCUCUGCCUCCUGGAUUCAAGCUAUUCUCCUGUCUCAGCCUCCCAAGUAGCUGGGAUUACAGGUGUGCACCACCAUGCCCGGCUAAUUUUGUAUUUUCAGAAGAGAUGGGUUUCAUCAGGUUGGCCAGGCUGGUCCUGAACUCCUGACCCCAAGAGAUCCACCUGCCUUGGCCUAACAAAGUGCUGGGAUUACAGGCGUGAGCCACUGUGCCUGGCCCACUAAAUUGCAGGAAUCUAAACCCUGAGUUGCAAGAAUCUGAUUAUCUCAAAUGCAGAAAUUUAAGUUGCUGCAAACAUCUUGCUUGUACCUAGCUUGCUGAAAGAUGCUGAUCAAGAACAAUUAUGAAAAUACAGAGUGUGCAGUAUUUAAUCCCUUUUAUCAUUUCAUAGUUGUGUGUCAAUUAGAUUUUGUUGCACAACGAACCAUCUCAAAAUUUAUAAGGUGUGAAACAAUAUAUUUUUAUGAUUGGUCAUGGGGUUAUGGGCAGCGGAGUAGUUCCUCUGCUAUGGAGCUACUUGGGUAGUUAGCUGUGGGUCUGGUAAAUUGGGUAGAGGGUGGGUCUGCUGAAACGGCUUAGACUCUGUUGUGUGUUUGGGGUUCAUUUUUAAACAGGCUGGGUUCUCAACUCUCCUUUUCUUACCUUCCAGCAGGCUAGCCCAGGCUUGUUCUUAUGAGAUGCAAGAAAAGGAGCCAAAAUGUGCAAAACCUCUUCAAGUGCAGGCUUAGAACAGGCAUGCCAUUAUUGCACCACAUUCUAUGAGCUAAAAAAAUAAAAAUAAAAAGCACGAGGACAGCCAAAUGUAAGGGCUUGGGAAAUAGCCUCUACUUCUUGAUGGAAGAGUUACAAAUUCACUUUGUAAAGAGCAUAAAUAUAGGAAAGAAAGGUGAGCUCUCUUUGCAAUCAUUUUACACCAGCGAUUAUAGCUCCAAGGGUACAUCAGGAGUUGACAAGUGUUUUGUGUAAAGCGCUAGAAAAUAAGCAUUUUAGGAUUUGAGGGCAUAUAUGUUCUUGGCUGCUUAUAAUUAUUAUAUUUCUGCUUUUUCUCCUUCUCUCUUUUUUUUUUCUUCUUCUGUUUUCUUCUACUUCUUUACCCUUUAAACUUGUAAAAACAUUCUUUGCUCAAUGGCUGUACAAGAACAGGCUGUAGGCCAAUUUUAGCCCGUAGACUCUCAUUUGGAAACCAUUGUAGGUAAUUAAAAAGGCAACUGGCAAGGCAAAGUUUAGUUCUCUAUGUAUUUAAGAAUUGUGAGUUGAAACUGGUACAAUAUGAAGCAAGAAUUUUUAAAAAUUUUAUUCUAAAUAUGUGCUUAUAUUCAGCACUGAGAGAAGAUGCUUAUGUGAAUAAACACACAGUGUGAUUUCACCAUAUGAUAUGUCCAUUUGCAAGUCUUUAGUUGAAAAAUCGUUGCAUGGAUAACACCUGAGGAAGAACACUGACAGGUCUUUGUUCUGAAAAAAUCCACUGGUGUUAUGCAGAUAAGCACUUUGAUUUCUGUAGCUUUGUAACAGGUUUUGAAAUUUGGAAGUAUGAGUUUUCCACAUUUGUUCUUUUUUCAAGAUCGUAUUGGCUAUUCCAGAUCCCUUGGAUUUCCAUAUAAAUUUGAGGAUAGAUCUUGUCAAUUUCUGCAAAGACUCCAGCUGGGAUUUUGUUAGUGUUGGUGUGAAAUGUGUGUAUCAGGGCAGUAUUGCAUAGAAGUGCCAAGAGUGGACAGCACUGCCUUGUUUUUAACCUUAGUAGGAAAUCCUUCCAUCUUUCACCAUUAAAUAUAAUGUUAGUUGUGAGUUUUUCAUUGAUGCCCUUUUUAAGGAGGAAAAAGUUCCCUUGAAUUCUUAAUUUGUUGGGUAAAGUCUUAUCAAGAAAAGGUGUUGGAUGUUUUAAAGUGCUGUUUCUUUGUCUGUUGGGAUGAUCAUGUAGUUUUUGUUCUUUAUUCAGUUAAUUGAUUUCUGAAUGUUAAAUUCGUCUAACAUUCCUAGGAUUAAUUCCAUGUGGCCAUGGUGUAUGUUGCUGGAUUCUAUUUAAAAUUAUUUCUGGAGAAUCUUUGUCUGUAUUCGUAAAAUACAUUAGGCUAUAGUUUUGUUCUCUUGUGAGGUCUCCAUUUGAUUUUCUAUCUAAAUAAUACUGGUCUCAAACAAUGAGUUAGAAAGUGUUUCCACCUCUUAUGUUUUAGAAGAUUUUGU